CGUAGGUGGCAAGCGUUGUCCGGAGUUACUGGGUGUAAAGGGCGUGUAGGCGGGAAGGUAAGUCAGAUGUGAAAUUCCAUGGCUCAACUGUGGCGCUGCAUCUGAAACUAUCUUUCUUGAGUGAUGGAGAGGAAAGUGGAAUUCCUAGUGUAGCGGUGAAAUGCGUAGAUAUUAGGAGGAACACCAGUGGCGAAGGCGACUUUCUGGACAUUAACUGACGCUGAGGCGCGAAAGCGUGGGGAGCAAACAGGAUUAGAUACCCUGGUAGUCCACGCUGUAAACGAUGGAUACUAGGUGUAGGAGGUAUCGACCCCUUCUGUGCCGGAGUUAACACAAUAAGUAUCCCACCUGGGGAUACGGCCGCAAGGUUG
This 371-nucleotide ribosomal RNA is filed under the name uncultured organism. RNAcentral's name for it is "bacterial SSU rRNA". It matches the Rfam family "Bacterial small subunit ribosomal RNA", at positions 526 to 896 of the family's 1533-position model. The record is from RNAcentral.